RNAcentral lists this ribosomal RNA (440 nucleotides) under uncultured bacterium. RNAcentral's name for it is "partial 16S ribosomal RNA". It matches the Rfam family "Bacterial small subunit ribosomal RNA", at positions 338 to 795 of the family's 1533-position model. The record is from RNAcentral.
CCUACGGGUGGCAGCAGUGGGGAAUAUUGCACAAUGGGGGAAACCCUGAUGCAGCGACGCCGCGUGAGUGAAGAAGUAAUUCGGUAUGUAAAGCUCUAUCAGCAGGGAAGAAAAUGACGGUACCUGAGUAAGAAGCCCCGGCUAACUACGUGCCAGCAGCCGCGGUAAUACGUAGGGGGCAAGCGUUAUCCGGAUUUACUGGGUGUAAAGGGAGAGUAGACGGCAGUGCAAGUCUGGAGUGAAAGGCGGGGGCUCAACCCCAGGACUGCUCUGGAAACUGUACGGCUGGAGUGCAGGAGAGGCAAGUGGAAUUCCUAGUGUAGCGGUGAAAUGCGUAGAUAUUAGGAGGAACACCAGUGGCGAAGGCGGCUUACUGGACUGUAACUGACGUUGAGGCUCGAAAGCGUGGGGAGCAAACAGGAUUAGAUACCCGAGUAGUC